AUGUCAGAAGAAGAAAGAAGUGAGGCCUCCCGACACGUUUUACGUGUUAUUGACUCGUUGAAGAAGAAAGUUACAGCAGAUCGUUUUACUUACAUUAAGAAUAGGAUAGAGGAUAACAAGAUAAAGCUCAGCCCCGUUACACAAAGCACUGGCAAUUCUUCAAAAAUCUGGCAAAGAAAUACAUCAAAUAGCACUGACUCGAAUCUGCUGACAAGUAGGCAAGACGAUGUACUCUCUUCUGGGCCUCGUAUUGUAGUAUCCCCUGCUGACGAAGAUGGUGUCAGUUCUGACGAAGAAAGCUCCUAUGCCGCGUCAACUGUUAUGUUGGGUGGAAAUCUAACUGCAAAGAAUGUCACUAGGCCAAUUAAACUACCAGAAGCACCAAAAAUUCCGCCUUAUACAACAUGGACAUUUUUGGACAGGAACCAGAGGAUGACAGAAGACCAAUCUGUACUUGGUCGACGAAGGAUUUACUAUGAUGCAAAUUGUGGUGAAGCUUUAAUUUGCAGUGAUAGUGAGGAUGAAGCUGUUGAGGAUGAAGAGGAGAAAAAGGAGUUCAAAGUUUCUGAAGACUGUCUUAUUCGGAUGACAAUUCAAGAAUGUGGCAUGUCUGAUGCAGUGCUGGAAACCCUAGCUCGAUGUUUUGAUAGGGCAGCUGGUGAUAUAAAGGCCAGAUAUGAGAUCCUAAAUGGGGAGAAAACUGGGGGUUCUCUUAAAAAGUUUUCUGAACUUAAUGCCAAAGUGGAAGAUCUCUACCGUGAUAAAGAUUUGGAUGCAGCAUUGGAUUCCUUUGACAAUCUCUUUUGUCGCCGAUGUCUAGUUUUUGAUUGCAAACUACAUGGGUGUUCUCAAGAUUUAGUAUUUCCUACAGAAAAGCAACCACCUUGCAACAGCAUGGAUGAUGGUAUACCAUGUGGUAUUCAUUGUUAUAAACUGGCUCCUAAACCAGAUGCAACCACCACAGUUGAUUCUGACAUGCUUGACAUAGAGGAGCCAACUCACUCAUCCGAUAAUACAAGGAACCAGUUAAGCUCAAAUAAGAAAAAACAGGGUUCUAGUGGUAAGAAAGCGAAAUCCCAACAAAGUGAAGGCUCUUCAACCCAAAGGGUUGCCUCAGAAAGCAGUGACUCAGAAGGACAUCCAAUGAGCACUAAAUCUCCACAACAAACAUCUUGUCAAUCAAAAGUCAAAAUUAGCCCAAAAGGUGGAAUCAGGAAAAGUACUAAUAGAAGAAUUGCCGAGCGGAUUCUUAUGAGUGUGAAAAAAGGACAUAGAGAAGUGGCACCAUCAGAUUCUAAUUCUGGUGGAUGUCUCUGGCCAAGGGACAUGAAGCUUAGAUCCGAUACACGAAAUGGACACAAGGAUUCAGUUGCAUCCCCACAACAGAAUUCUCCAAGCACAAGAAGUUCUCGGAAGAAGGAUGCGCCUCAAAUGGAGAAUAGUUUAGCUUCAGGGGAAGAUCGUAAUGAUUCAACAGAGGAAACCAAGAACGAACAUUCAGCAACAGAUGGCCAUGAUAGUUUGAUGAUAGAAGAUGUUGAGGAUAAUAUAUGCAGGCAAGAAAAUAAAUGUAGAUCCUGGAAGGUGAUUGAGCAAGGGCUUCUAGUGAAAGGUUUGGAGAUUUUUGGAAGGAACAGUUGUUUAAUUGCUCGGAACCUUCUCUGUGGAAUGAAAACAUGCAGCGAUGUUUUUCAGUAUAUGAGUUAUAUUGAAAACAGCAGCGCAUCUGGAACUCUUAGCAGGGGUGAUUCUCUCGUCAAAGGAUAUAUAAAGGGACAUGAGUUGCGUGUGAGAUCACGGUUUAUUAGAAGGCGAGGUAGAGUUCGUCGUUUGAAGUACACCUGGAAAUCUGCAGGCUACCAUUUUAUAAGGAAAAGGAUUACAGAAAGGAAGGAUCAGCCUUGUCGGCAAUAUAACCCAUGUGGUUGUCAAUCAUCAUGUGGGAAACAGUGUCCAUGUCUUGUAAAUGGGACAUGCUGUGAGAAAUACUGUGGGUGUCCGAAAAUGUGCAAGAAUCGUUUUCGAGGUUGUCAUUGUGCAAAGAGCCAGUGUCGCAGUCGCCAGUGUCCAUGCUUUGCUGCUGACAGGGAAUGUGAUCCUGACGUGUGCAGAAACUGUUGGGUAGGGUGUGGAGAUGGUUCAUUGGGAGUUCCCAACCAAAGAGGCGAUAAUUAUGAAUGCCGAAACAUGAAGCUACUUCUUAAACAACAACAAAGGGUCUUACUUGGGAAAUCUGAUGUUUCUGGCUGGGGAGCAUUUCUCAAGAAUACUGUUAGCAAGCAUGAGUAUCUUGGCGAGUACACUGGGGAGCUUAUCUCUCACAAGGAAGCAGAUAAGCGUGGAAAGAUAUAUGAUCGUGAGAAUUCGUCCUUCCUUUUCAACCUGAAUAAUGAGUUUGUUCUGGAUGCCUUCAGAAUGGGAGACAAGCUUAAGUUUGCCAACCACUCCCCUGACCCGAAUUGCUAUGCCAAGGUCAUCAUGGUAGCAGGCGAUCACAGGGUGGGCAUAUUUGCCAAAGAGCGGAUCGGUUCAGGCGAGGAGAUCUUCUAUGAUUACCGCUAUGAGCCUGACCGAGCCCCUGUGUGGGCUCGAAAGCCCGACGCUCCCGGAGCGAAAGACCCCGGGCAGCCAUCCAGCGGGCGGGCCAAGAAGCUCGCCCACUGA
Molecule: ribosomal RNA, 2664 nt
Filed under: Triticum aestivum (bread wheat)
Lineage: Eukaryota; Viridiplantae; Streptophyta; Magnoliopsida; Poales; Poaceae
Description: partial small subunit ribosomal RNA
Source: RNAcentral